AGCUCGGUUUUUAAUAGAAGCAAAAACAAACCUUACAAAUUGCAGCUACUUCAAGGGCACAUCCCGUUCCGCUAAACACAAUCAAAGAUUACACCAUUUGCCUCUUAACGUACCAUGCUCAUACAUACGAAUUUUGAGAUGAUGCGAAGAAACCGACAAACAAAGCCGACUCCGCAUUCGAUUUCCUCUAACGUCACUAUCAUCCGGAAUGGCCAUACGGAGCAAUUGGGUGGGUAACGUCAUCCAUCCAUGCCCCGGGAUUGUCUCGUCCUGUCCGUCCGUACGCCACUAUCUGAAGGCCUGCAGCUCUUAUCAGGGCGAUUGUCAUUCAAACGGUAUUGCCUGCCGGCGAUAAGCGUACCGCCCUAUGCACAUAUACGCAGACACAGACACACACACUCACAUAAGCUGAUAAUACGGUGUGUGGUCUCCCGGUUGGCAGACGGAGCCGAAGAGCGAAUCUCAAUCCCUGCCGGGAGAUUGCUUGCCCAGCCAGUCUGGCGCUCAUGGUGCAAAGUGUUUCGGCAUUGUGAGAACAGAACACCAAAGUCGGCCAACGGCUCACCAUUCUCCUGAACUUUCCGAAAGGCCUGACAGUUCUCUCGCGCUUACCGUCAGGAUCGGGGGCACGAGCUUUCCCCGUGUUGUGUGUGCGUUGUUUCUGUCUGUUGUGAUGUAAAUCGCCGUGUGCGUGUGCAAAGGUGUGAAAAGAUGCCUUGAGAUAGCAAAGGCAUUGUGACAAUUGUUGUAUGUAAUAUAUUCUACUAUUCUGUUGUGUAUGUGUUGUGGAUAUUGUGGAAUCGUUUGCAAAGCUGCAAGCCUGCCGCGACCGAGUGUGUCUGCGAGGUACAUACCGGGAAGCGUCGAUUAAGAUCAGGAUCGGAGGCAAAGGAAUCCGUCUCGGUGCGUCUGCGAGCACAGCAGUCAGAUCUCUCACACUUCGAAGUGAUUGGUUAGCUGGCGCCUUCUUAACCCAAUUGCUGCAGCAAUACAGCAUUCCGUGUAAGUGCGUAACGUGAUCUUCAGUAAAGAUUCUCGCCGGGCUUCGCCCUUGCUCCAGUACGUACGUAGCCACGUAGCAAAGAGCAGCGAAAGUAUGUAGCCGCUUCUCGAAACCGGGCAAAGUGUGUAGUAAAGUGUGCCAAAGUGGAAGAUGCUAAAAUAAGCCUAAUUGAUUAUCCGCGGCACAGAAUGCACCGUGGGAGUGGAGCCGCCAGUGGAGAGGCUGCGUGCCGGAACGUGCGCGAUUUGUGUGCCCGUGUAGAGUGCUGGUGUUCAGUGAGCUGGGAGAGAUGAGCGCCAUGAUCUUCCGCAAAAAUUUACCAUAUUUAGUCUGUUACGCAAAGCGCCGAUUGUGUGUGUGUGUUAAAGUGUGUGCCAUAUUGCCGUAAAGCCUGCCCAAUGCAGAGUGUGACCACCGUGCGGUGUGGGCUGUAACGUUCUGUGCAUUUGUGGCGAUCCAAUCACCAGUGUUACCCACUGUCCGAUCGCUUGUUCUUCUAAUCUAGCAUAGUGAGUGUGUGUGUGUGCCCAUAUCGGAUAUCAGCUUCAUCCGCGGCGUCAUCCGAAGCGUUUUUUUUUUCUUACCAAAAGAGACGGUUCCAAACGCAGCCCAACUUCGCCGUGUUGGAGGCACGCGUCCAUUUACAACCCCGGGCAGCGCGGGAGCACACUGGAAAGAGGAAGCCGGCAAGCAAAGCCAGUGGGCAGAUUGCAGCUGUUAGAUGACUUUCUGCAUGACUUCCUCAAUCACUUCGCUGUAUACAAGAGAGUGUCAUAUAAUCUGGAUGUUAUCAUUGUGGUUUACUUCACAUUCGCGAAUCGACCGUUGAUCGCUUUACAAUAAACCUUUAAGCUGAAUUAUAAUUGUACACUAUUGAUACAGUUUUUGGUGAUUUUGGUGAAGUUUUUGGGGAUUUUUCAACAUCUACGGCAUUAUGAUUUUGCGAUUGAAAUUCAUAUUAAAGUUGUGUUUUACGAAAUGUUUA
This is a long non-coding RNA of Anopheles coluzzii, 1988 nucleotides long. RefSeq lists it as uncharacterized. The transcript has 3 exons. The record is from RefSeq and is a predicted model, not a curated record. Lineage: Eukaryota; Metazoa; Arthropoda; Insecta; Diptera; Culicidae.